Amphimedon queenslandica is the source of this 325-nucleotide long non-coding RNA. RefSeq lists it as uncharacterized. The record is from RefSeq and is a predicted model, not a curated record. Lineage: Eukaryota; Metazoa; Porifera; Demospongiae; Haplosclerida; Niphatidae. The transcript has 2 exons.
AUAAAAAGCACAGUCCAAUUCCCAGCAAACUAUAGCGGCUUGUUUACAGUGACAUUAAUAUAUCAAAUAUGGAUCCAUGUGAUCACCCAAAUGAAACACAGGUCAUAUUGGAGUACACCAAUGGGACUUCCAAAAAAAGUUGUGAGAGGUGCAUUAGAGGAAAUGCAGAACAAGUUCAAAAAGAAAAAGGAAGUAUGAUGCUUAAAUCAAAGAAGGAUGUAGAGAAAAUUCUCAGUAAAAAGCAAUAACUUAAAAAUGUACAGACAUUAAUUUGCUAAUAUAGGCUAUGAAGUUUUAAUGUUGAGUUAAAAACUUAAUAAAAUUA